GGCCCUAUGGUCAAGCGGUUAAGACAUCGCCCUUUCACGGCGGUAACUCGGGUUCGAAUCCCGGUAGGGUCA
This 72-nucleotide transfer RNA is filed under the name Sedimentibacter sp. Its description in RNAcentral is "tRNA-Glu". It matches the Rfam family "tRNA". From Rfam's summary of the family: Transfer RNA (tRNA) molecules are approximately 80 nucleotides in length. Their secondary structure includes four short double-helical elements and three loops (D, anti-codon, and T loops). Lineage: Bacteria; Bacillati; Bacillota; Tissierellia. The record is from RNAcentral.